Molecule: ribosomal RNA, 253 nt
Filed under: uncultured bacterium
Lineage: Bacteria
Description: partial 16S ribosomal RNA
Rfam family: Bacterial small subunit ribosomal RNA
Source: RNAcentral
UACGUAGGGCGCAAGCGUUGUCCGGAAUUAUUGGGCGUAAAGAGCUCGUAGGCGGCUUGUCACGUCGAUUGUGAAAGCCCGAGGCUUAACCUCGGGUCUGCAGUCGAUACGGGCUAGCUAGAGUGUGGUAGGGGAGAUCGGAAUUCCUGGUGUAGCGGUGAAAUGCGCAGAUAUCAGGAGGAACACCGGUGGCGAAGGCGGGUCUCUGGGCCGAUACUGACACUGAGGAGCGAAAGCGUGGGGAGCGAACAGG